This 301-nucleotide ribosomal RNA is filed under the name uncultured bacterium. RNAcentral describes it as "partial 16S ribosomal RNA". It matches the Rfam family "Bacterial small subunit ribosomal RNA", at positions 509 to 809 of the family's 1533-position model. The record is from RNAcentral.
CAGCAGCCGCGGGAAUACGAGGGGUGCAAGCGUUAAUCGGAAUUACUGGGCGUAAAGCGUGCGUAGGCGGUGAGUUAAGUCUGCUGUGAAAUCCCCGGGCUCAACCUGGGAAUGGCAGUGGAUACUGGCUCGCUAGAGUGUGUCAGAGGAUGGUGGAAUUCCCGGUGUAGCGGUGAAAUGCGUAGAGAUCGGGAGGAACAUCAGUGGCGAAGGCGGCCAUCUGGGACAACACUGACGCUGAGGCACGAAAGCGUGGGGAGCAAACAGGAUUAGAUACCCCAGUAGUCCCUGUCUCUUAUAA